Long non-coding RNA from Gopherus flavomarginatus (Mexican gopher tortoise), 1091 nucleotides. RefSeq lists it as uncharacterized. The record is from RefSeq and is a predicted model, not a curated record. The transcript is spliced from 3 exons. Lineage: Eukaryota; Metazoa; Chordata; Testudines; Testudinidae.
UGAGGAAAAAAAAAUUGAAUAGUUUUCUGCAAUUAACUAGUUAGGGAAUUAAAACUGUUUACAUUUUCAAACAGACUGAGAAAUUAUUAGUCUUCCUGACAAAACAGGGUUACCAAAUGGAAAUGUUUGCAAUCAGGAACAGAAAUGGAAAAGAGCUUAUUAGUGCAUCUAGCCCAUCCCUAAGUAAAUACAGGAUUGUUCACUACAAGACCCUGCCUAACGUGUAUUCUAGUUUGCAAUAUCUAGCUCUGGGACUUCCUGUUUCUCCUGAGAAGCUAUUCCAAAGUCCAUUAGAUCUUGUUAAAUAAGAUUUUCCUGUUCAGCCUACAUUUUCCUCUUUAAUUUCAUCCCAUCGUGUUGAUUUUUACCUCUUUGUUUUUUGUGGGAGGAGUGAAUCCUGUCUCUUACAAAUGUUAAAGGUGUGUAGCCAGAAAGAUCACCCCACCCUUACCAAAUAACACAAUAGCUGCAGUUUAUACCUUCAUGAAUCAAUCCUACCACUUUUUCUCUGUCCCACCUGUUUCUCUUCUCUAACUCCCUCCUGUUUAUAUCUUUCAGGUACUGAGGUGUCCAAAACUGAACACAGUUCAAUAUUCAGCUUGAAGUGGACUAAAAACCAGCGUGUGUGUGUGCGCACUUUGCACUACCACAGCAACAAGACAGUUUUUCUCCUUAAGAGAAAGGGAACUUUUGUUUGACAUGCUCAUCUAAACUUUACCAUGGCUUAUUUAAAAAAAAAAAGAAAAAAAAAAUGGGCCUUUCCUUUUAAAGUAAUGAACAGGAAAGCAGUUUUGCCACAUUUAUUUCUAAAUGUGAAGUUUUCCUUCAAAAUGAACUAAAUUCCUUUAGCAGAAAACGAAUGGAAUUUGUAAGGCUCAUGAACAACUGCUCCCUAGCGCGUAGAAAUGCUGACUUGAAAUAGAGACUAAAUUUAAGGGCAAAGUACACAGACACCAGAAAAUGUUGUUUUCAAUUGAAGUAAGCUACCUGAUCAGAGUGGUGCACAUAAAAUGCUGAAAUUAUGUCACUGUUGGGAGCUUUCUUCAGCGUACUAGCCAGUGAGCUGGCCCACCAGUCAGCAGUAUAAUCAG